UACGGGGGGGGGCAAGCGUUGUUCGGAAUUACUGGGCGUAAAGGGCUCGUAGGCGGCCAACUAAGUCAGACGUGAAAUCCCUCAGCUUAACUGGGGGAACUGCGUCUGAUACUGGAUGGCUUGGAUUUGGGAGAGGGAUGCGGAAUUCCAGGUGUAGAGGUGAAAUUCGUAGAUAUUGGGAAGAACACCGGUGGCGAAGGCGGCGACCUGGUCCGAUACUGACGCUGAGGCGCGAAAGCGUGGGGAGCAAACAGGG
RNAcentral lists this ribosomal RNA (256 nucleotides) under uncultured bacterium. Its description in RNAcentral is "partial 16S ribosomal RNA". It matches the Rfam family "Bacterial small subunit ribosomal RNA", at positions 524 to 777 of the family's 1533-position model. The record is from RNAcentral.